Molecule: unclassified non-coding RNA, 208 nt
Filed under: Hevea brasiliensis (rubber tree)
Lineage: Eukaryota; Viridiplantae; Streptophyta; Magnoliopsida; Malpighiales; Euphorbiaceae
Source: RNAcentral
CUUAUUACAUGGCCCCAGAGGUUCUAAAACGCAAUUAUGGCCCUGAAGUUGAUGUCUGGAGUGCUGGAGUUAUUCUAUAUAUUUUACUUUGUGGUGUCCCACCUUUCUGGGCAGAAACUGAGCAAGGGGUAGCGCACGCAAUUAUUCGCUCUGUCAUUGAUUUCAAGAGGGACCCAUGGCCUAAAGUUUCUGAUAAUGCAAAGGACCG